CGUAGAAGACUAGUGUUAUUCAUCUUUAAUAGGUUUAAAGGGUACCUAGACGGUAUAAUUAGUCUUAAAUAAGAAACGAUUAUACUAGAGUUAUAUAUGAGAAGGGGAGUAUUUAUGGAGUAAAGUUGAAUUUUGAUCCCAUAGAGACUGGUAACGGCGAAGGCAACCUUUUAUCUAAUAACUGACGUUGAGGGACGAAGGCUCGGGUAGCGAACAGGAUU
Molecule: ribosomal RNA, 221 nt
Filed under: uncultured bacterium
Lineage: Bacteria
Description: partial 16S ribosomal RNA
Rfam family: Bacterial small subunit ribosomal RNA
Source: RNAcentral